UGUUAUAGAAGGAUUAGUUAGACCUUAAUUCAUAACA
Flavobacteriaceae bacterium TMED212 is the source of this 37-nucleotide non-coding RNA. The record is from Rfam. Lineage: Bacteria; Pseudomonadati; Bacteroidota; Flavobacteriia; Flavobacteriales; Flavobacteriaceae.